Long non-coding RNA from Acipenser ruthenus (sterlet), 2625 nucleotides. RefSeq lists it as uncharacterized. The record is from RefSeq and is a predicted model, not a curated record. The transcript is spliced from 5 exons. Lineage: Eukaryota; Metazoa; Chordata; Actinopteri; Acipenseriformes; Acipenseridae.
GCGGAGGCUGCGCUUGUUGAGCCUGGAUGAUAUGGAGCGGCUGGCAACCUGCAUGCUUCACCCUGAGGCUGUGGAGUGCAUGGAGCUGUCCUUCCUGGACUGAGGAAUACUGCUCUGCCCUCUCCACCUCUCUUCUCCCCUCUCCCCUCUCUCCUCUCCUCUGUACUCUCUCCUCCCACUGUCCUCUUCUCUCCUUACUUUGUUUAAAAGAAUAGAAGCACACCCAGUGAGCAAGGCAUUGAGCAGCCCCACAUCCCGCUUCACAAUACCGCUACAUAUUGACUGACUGUUCGCAUUGUGUGUGUUUGGUAAGACAAACCACAUUUUCUACUUCUACUUUCUACGAUUGGGCAAGUCAGCGGUUGUUUGAUAACAGAACAUAAAACAUCACAGAGUGGGUUGAACUGCAUUGCUGCAAACCAAGGCCCUUUAAAAUGUGUACCUUCCCAGCUCAGGUAUUGCUGAGGUAAAGAGACACUUCCUACAGGAGGACAGGACGUUGUCAAGGAGGGGAUGUCGACACGUGUCCUGAGGGCUUUCUUAAAAACAUUGUUUUAUUAUUUCUAAGCGCACGUUGUUACUGCCUUUUAGCUCUUGAGCAUAAUAAUCUCAAUCCCGUUUGAAAUGACACUAAGUGCAUUUGCAUGGUGGCAGAUGAGGGAUGUCACUUCACUCGAGGCUUGCUUACUGAUGAAGAUGUAUUUUCAGUGUUUAAUGCUCAUCCCCUCACUGUGUGUGUGUGUGUGUGUGUGUGUGUUCUUGUCUCUCGCCUGUCCUGUGAGGAUGAAGAUGUAGUUUCAGUGUUUAAUGCUCAUCUCCUCACUGUGUGUCUGUGUGUUCUUGUCUCUUGACAGGUCUGUGAGGAUGAGAAGGUCUCCACAGUCUGCAGUCUGGUCUCUGACAGGCUCAACAUACCUGUCAAUCAACAUGGACUCCUCUACAAAGGCAAGGCGCUGGCAGGUAGGCUGAACAGCACAGCACAGCACAGCUCACCCCUCCUCACUUCUCGCCUCACCCCGGGUCAGUGUGGCACAGCCUGCCUGCUCUUCUGAACAAACACUUCAGCCCUGCCGACGCAGUGAGAGUCUGGAGCAGCAACACAAGGAUUACGAGCGGAGGCUGCGCUUGUUGAGCCUGGAUGAUAUGGAGCGGCUGGCGACCUGCAUGCUUCACCCUGAGGCUGUGGAGUGCAUGGAGCUGUCCUUCCUGGACUGAGGAAUACUGCUGCUGCCCUCUCCACCUCUCCCCUCUCUUCUCCCCUCUCCCCUCUCCUCUCCUCUUUACUCUCUGCUCCCCCUCUCCUCUCCUCUCCUUACUUUGUUUAAAAGAAUAGAAGCACACCCAGUGAGCAAGGCAUUGAGCAGCCCCACAUCCCGCUUCACAAUACCGCUACAUAUUGACUGACUGUUCGCAUUGUGUGUGUUUGGUAAGACAAACCAAAUUUUCUACUUCUACUUUCUACGACUGGGCAAGUCAGCGGUUGUUUGGUAACAGAACAUAAAACAUCACAGAGUGGGUUGAACUGCAUUGCUGCAAACCAAGGCCCUUUAAAAUGUGUACCUUCCCAGCUCAGGUAUUGCUGAGGUAAAGAGACACUUCCUACAGGAGGACAGGACGUUGUCAAGGAGGGGAUGUCGUCACGUGUCCUGAGGGCUUUCUUAAAAGCGUCUGUGAGGAUGAGAAGGUCUCCACAGUCUGGAGUCUGGUCUCUGACAGGCUCAACAUACCUGUCAAUCAACAGGGACUCCUCUACAAAGGCAAGGCGCUGGCAGAUGAGCACAGACUGUCACACGACUCCAUCGCUCCCGAUUCCAAGCUGAACUCGUUGUGACGCCCCCAACAGAGAAAGUGUCACCCGAGCAAGAACAGCACUCCGUGUCACCCCUCCUCUCAGACCUCACCCCUCACCCUCGCCUCACCCCUCCUGUCACACCUCACCCCUCGCCACACCCCUCCUCUCACACCUCACCCCUCGUCUCACUCCUCGCCUCAACCCUCCUGUCACCCCUCGCCCCUCCUCUCACCCCUCGCCUAACCCCUCCUCUCACUUCUCGCCUCACCCCGGGUCAGUGUGGCACAGCCUGCCUGCUCUUCUGAACAAACACUUCAGCCCUGCCGACGCAGUGAGAGUCUGGAGCAGCAACACAAGGAUUACGAACGGAGGCUGCGCUUAUUGAGCCUGGAUGAUAUGGAGCGGCUGGCGACCCGCAUGCUUCACCCUGAGGCUAUGGGGAGUGCAUGGAGCUGUCCUUCCUGGACUGAGCAAUACUGCUGCUGCCCUCUCCACCUCUCCCCUCUCUCCUCCCCCUCUCCUCCCCCUCUCCUUACUUUGUUUAAAAGAAUAGAAGCACACCCAGUGAGCAAGGUAUUGAGCAGCCCCACAUCCCGCUUCACAAUACCGCUACAUAUUGACUGACUGUUCGCAUUGUGUGUGUUUGGUAAGACAAACCACAUUUUCUACUUUCUGCUAUUUUAAAAGGAGCCCAGUUUGGUGCAGGAGGCUUGUGGGUAACAGAGUGUGUUUUUGCUGGGGACUGCAGCCCUUCCAUUACCAUUGCUCGUAGAGGGGAGAUUGUUUUACUUUCAAGCCUUUUUCUUUAAUAAAUCCGGACGUUUGGAAAUACA